Long non-coding RNA from Alligator mississippiensis (American alligator), 1026 nucleotides. RefSeq lists it as uncharacterized. The transcript has 3 exons. The record is from RefSeq and is a predicted model, not a curated record. Lineage: Eukaryota; Metazoa; Chordata; Crocodylia; Alligatoridae.
GUGGGCGGGGGGCACUUUGUCUGGCCCGGCCCGGCCCGCGCGGCCGAGGUGGCAUUGGCACCGCGUGGCCGGCGCGAGCGCACGUGGUCGGCGGGUGCUCCCCGCAAGGCCGCGGCCUUGGCUAGACCCUUCUCCCCCCCCGGGCUCGUGCUACGUGUGUCCCCGCAGCCCUGCGCGGCGCUCGGCUCAGCCGGGGCGGGCGGGGGCUCGGGCUGGGAGCGGCGCGGCCUCGCGUCUCGGGGGCUCCGAGCGGGGCGGGGGGGUCAGUGUCGCACCGCCCUGUUCGCCGCUGGCCAGCAGUGAAGCGCGGGCCAAGGGCCGAGCCCAGCCCCGCUGCCUGUGGGCAGCUGGUGGGAGAGGUCGGUUGCGGGAGCAGCCCCUCACUCCCUCCCCCCCUUCGUAGGGCAGCUAUCCGUACCAGUGUUCAUUCACACCGGUGUGUUCUUAAUGCAGGAGCUUGAGUUGACCUGCUGUCUGUCUGCUUUGUUUAAGGGUAUUUGCAGCUGUGAAGGGAUCAACGUUCACAAAGGCGCUCUGGUGGCAGAGAGGGUUUUUGGAAAAUUGAGGCUCAACAGGUAGAAGCCUAUUCAUAUUAUUUUUUCUACGGAGUGAUACAGAGACAUCCACUAGUUGUCUGAGGAAAAGGAAGGAAUAAAUGUUGCUGUUCUUAAGACCUGCAAACUUAAGAGAUGCAGGGAGAUAAGAGUACAUGAAGAGGACUACCCCUGUGUAUGCAAGGUUCAGGUGUAGCAAGAUGAAACAUAAAAACAGCCAAACCAUCUUGCUGUGUGCUCCAGACUCAAAUGAGGAAGCUGCUGGUCUCUGCUCUACUGAAGAUCGGGUUCAAGUUCCCUUUCCCCCUAAACUCUGGAAGAAUCAAUUGUUCAGUCAGAUGAUGAAACUGGACAAAAUGUGCCUAAUGAGGCAGAAGUUGGUUCCUUGUUCCCAGUUCCUUAUUCCUUUUUCAAAGCUAGUCUUUACACAAUUAAAGGCUGUUAAUAACUAAUAAAUUCCAAAGGCUAAAGA